Molecule: ribosomal RNA, 253 nt
Filed under: uncultured bacterium
Lineage: Bacteria
Description: partial 16S ribosomal RNA
Rfam family: Bacterial small subunit ribosomal RNA
Source: RNAcentral
UACGUAGGGGGCUAGCGUUGUCCGGAAUCAUUGGGCGUAAAGCGCGUGUAGGCGGUCCGGUAAGUCCGCUGUGAAAGUCGGGGGCUCAACCCUCGGAUGCCGGUGGAUACUGUCGGGCUUGAGUACGGAAGGGGCGAGUGGAAUUCCUGGUGUAGCGGUGAAAUGCGCAGAUAUCAGGAGGAACACCAAUUGCGAAGGCAGCUCGCUGGGACGUUACUGACGCUGAGACGCGAAAGCGUGGGGAGCAAACAGG